GGCAUGCUGCGCGGGGCGGCGGCGGCGGCCGCCAGGCGGUGCGGGCUCGGUCCCGGUCCCGGUGCCGGCCGGGCACAGGCGGGGGCGCGGCGGUGCUCGGGCGCUGCGCGGCGGCGGCGACAGUGGGUGCCUCCGGCGGGGCGCGACAGCGGGAUCGUGGCUUACAACAGCCGGAGCCAGAGCAAGGAGCCGCUCGUGCUGGCCACGGAAGGAGUGGCGACCUGGUACAGCUGCGGGCCAACCGUGUAUGACCAUGCACACCUCGGGCACGCCUGCUCCUAUGUUAGGUUUGAUAUAAUUCGAAGGAUAAUGACAAGGUUUUUUGGAAUUGAAGUUAUCAUGGUGAUGGGGAUCACAGACAUAGAUGACAAGAUAAUAAAAAGAGCCAAUGAGAUGAAUAUAUCGCCAGUAGCUCUUGCUCGUAUUUAUGAAGAAGAUUUUAAACAAGAUAUGGCUGCUUUAAAGGUUCUUCCUCCUACGGCAUAUAUGAGGGUGACUGACAAUAUUCCUCAAAUAAUUUCCUUUAUAAAAACAAUAAUUUCCAGUGGACAAGCUUAUGCAACCUCGCAAGGCAAUGUUUAUUUUGAUGUUAAGUCCUGGGGAAAAAGAUAUGGAGUGUUAACUGCUAUUAACCCUGAUACCCAAGAUGAAGAGGUUGAUUCUGAUAAACGACACCGUAAAGAUUUUGCCCUGUGGAAGGCUGCCAAGCCUGAAGAGCUAUCUUGGAAUUCUCCCUGGGGAAAAGGACGGCCUGGAUGGCACAUUGAAUGUUCCACAAUAUCAAGUGCAGUGUUUGGAAAGCAGCUGGACAUCCAUACCGGUGGAAUAGAUCUUGCAUUUCCUCAUCAUGAAAAUGAAAUUGCACAGUGUGAGGUGUAUCAUCAGUGUGAGCAAUGGGGGAAUUACUUUCUGCAUUCUGGGCAUUUGCAUGUUAAAGGAAGUCAAGAAAAAAUGUCAAAGUCAUUAAAAAACUACAUAACGAUUAAGGAUUUCCUGAAGAAAUGUUCAUCAGAUCAAUUCAGAAUGUUUUGUUUGCGUGGCAGAUACAGCUCAGGGUGCAGGCAAGGCCAGAGGAGUCUGCUGAACUCCUGCCAGCAGGAGUGGACUCUGGAAGCUCCCAAAGUGGAAUUGCCUGCCAAAGUAGAAUUUAGUGAGGAGAGCAUGGAAGAUGCAAAGAACCUUCUUCAGGCAAUCUCCUCAUUUAUUAGAGAUGCAAAUGCUUAUAUAAAAGGACAGCUGGUGUGUGACCCUGUUAGAGAAGACAUAUUGUGGGAAAGGCUAGCCAACACAAAAGUAACUGUGAAGGCUGCGUUUGCAGAUGACUUUGACACCUCCAGGGCUGUUGCAGCAAUUAUGGACCUCAUUCACCAUGGCAACAGACAGCUUAAGGCUGUUACUAAGGAUGCUGGAUCUCCUAGAAGCUCUGUUGUGUAUGGAAGCAUUACUUCCUAUAUUGAAGGCUUUUUCAGUGCCCUUGGGAUGUCCUUUGAAGAAAGACAGGUGGCUGUGGGAGGAGACAAGUCUGCCUUGCUCUCCAACGUCAUUGAAGAGCUGGUGAGGUUCCGCUCGAAGGUGCGGCAUUACGCGCUGGCUCUGCCGGAAGCAGCAGAUGCUGCACCGCUGGAGGGUGCAGCGGGAGCCCAGGAAUCCAAACAGGAGCAGAAGGAAAAGAGGAAGCAGUUAAUGCAGGAGAGAAAGCCCCUCCUGGAGGCUUGUGACAGUCUGCGUGGAGACCUUGCUGCCUUUGGAAUUCACAUAAAGGGCAUCUCUGGCUCAAGAGAAGACCCUCUAUGGCAUUACUGCCUUCUCCUGGUUCCAAGGACCUGCAUUACUUCCUUAAAGUGCUGCUUCUUCCAGUUCCUCCUGGCCAUUGCCCUUCUGUGAGGCGAGGGUCAGUGUUGCUCCUUGAGUGCAGAAUAAUCCUCUGCAUUCUCUCCCUCCAUCCAGUUUAUACUGUCCAUUUUUCCUUUCCUUGGGAACUGAUCCUGGCAAGUCUGGUUCCAUCGUUUCACCAGUGGGAAGAUGGAAAACACAAUGACAUCAGGGAGUGACAGCACACACAGGUCCAGCUGUGUGAGGGCUGUCACUUGUCACUGCUGCUGUUGGAGCACAGCGUGUUUGGCGCUCUCCUCUCUUGGAUGACAGCGAGCCUGCUGGCAAAAACUGGGGACAGAGCUGCUGUUUCUACCUGGGAAAUUGUGGAAGGAGGGCAGACAGAGAAGCAGACUGAGAAAAAAAGCUGAUCCUUCAUCCUUGGACUUGUUUUUUAUUUCAGCUACUUCAGCAACUCUUGUAAAUACUAAUUCUUUCAAAAUAAAAUCUGUCGAACAGAA
Serinus canaria (Common canary) is the source of this 2333-nucleotide RNA transcript. It is a transcript of the gene named cysteinyl-tRNA synthetase 2, mitochondrial, with no coding region annotated. Lineage: Eukaryota; Metazoa; Chordata; Aves; Passeriformes; Fringillidae. The record is from RefSeq and is a predicted model, not a curated record. The transcript has 17 exons.